Molecule: ribosomal RNA, 1017 nt
Filed under: Otidea mirabilis
Lineage: Eukaryota; Fungi; Ascomycota; Pezizomycetes; Pezizales; Pyronemataceae
Description: partial large subunit ribosomal RNA
Rfam family: Eukaryotic large subunit ribosomal RNA
Source: RNAcentral
AUGCGGGAGGGAAAAAGGAAAACCAAACAGGGGAUUUGCGUUAGUAAACUGCGAGUGAAGCGGCGCAAAAGCUCAAAUUUGAAAUCUGACGUUUUUGACGUUCGAAUUGUAAUUUGGAGGGAUAUCUUCGGAGCAGGCGCUGUCCUAAGUUCUUUGGAACCAGACAUCAUAGAGGGUGAGAAUCCCGUGCCUGGGUGGCUGUCCCGCUCCAUGUGAAGUGUCUCCGACGAGUCGAGUUGUUUGGGAAUGCAGCUCAAAAUGGGUGGUAAAUUUCAUCUAAAGCUAAAUAUUGGCGAGAGACCGAUAGCGCACAAGUAGAGUGAUCGAAAGAUGAAAAGCACUUUGAAAAGAGAGUUAAACAGUACGUGAAAUUGUUGAAAGGGAAGCGCUUGAGACUAGAUUCGACUGGCGGUCAUCAGCUACGUUUUUGCGUGGUGCACUUGCCGUCGGUUGAGCCAGCAUCGGUUUCGAUGGCGGGAUAAAGGUUUCAGGAAUGUGGCUCCUCAAUUUUGAGGAGUGUUAUAGCCUGGAGCGCAAUGCUGCCUGUCGGGACCGAGGACCGCGCUUUUGCUAGGAUGCUGGCUAAAAGGUCUUAAGCGGCCCGUCUUGAAACACGGACCAAGGAGUCUAACAUCUAUGCGAGUGUUCGGGUGGAAAACCCUUGCGCGUAAUGAAAGUGAACGGAGGUGGGAACCCCUUUGGGGUGCACCAUCGACCGAUCCCGAUGUUUACGGAAGGAUUUGAGUAGGAGCAUAGCUGUUGGGACCCGAAAGAUGGUGAACUAUGCCUGAAUAGGGUGAAGCCAGAGGAAACCUUGGUGGAAGCUCGCAGCGGUUCUGACGUGCAAAUCGAUCGUCAAAUUUGGGUAUAGGGGCGAAAGACUAAUCGAACCAUCUAGUUUGCUAGUAGCUGUCUGCGAUAUUUCUCUCUCCCGCAGAAGAACUGUUCAACCACCGCUCACCAGUAAGCGGUUUGCUGAUUAUGCUCUUGCCUAAUAUCAAAUAUGUAGAGACUGAG